This 425-nucleotide ribosomal RNA is filed under the name uncultured bacterium. Its description in RNAcentral is "partial 16S ribosomal RNA". It matches the Rfam family "Bacterial small subunit ribosomal RNA", at positions 354 to 796 of the family's 1533-position model. The record is from RNAcentral.
GUGGGGAAUCUUGCGCAAUGGGCGAAAGCCUGACGCAGCCAUGCCGCGUGAAUGAUGAAGGUCUUAGGAUUGUAAAAUUCUUUCACCGGGGACGAUAAUGACGGUACCCGGAGAAGAAGCCCCGGCUAACUUCGUGCCAGCAGCCGCGGUAAUACGAAGGGGGCUAGCGUUGCUAGGAAUUAAUGGGCGUAAAGGGCGCGUAGGCGGACAGUUUAGUCAGAGGUGAAAGCCCAGGGCUCAACCUUCGAAUUGCCUUUGAUACUGGCUAUCUUGAGUACGGGAGAGGUGAGGGGAACUCCGAGUGUAGAGGUGAAAUUCGUAGAUAUUCUGAAGAACACCAGUGGCGAAGGCGACUCACUGGCCCGUUACUGACGCUGAGGCGCGAAAGCGUGGGGAGCAAACAGGAUUAGAUACCCCUGUAGUCC